RNAcentral lists this ribosomal RNA (301 nucleotides) under uncultured bacterium. RNAcentral's name for it is "partial 16S ribosomal RNA". It matches the Rfam family "Bacterial small subunit ribosomal RNA", at positions 509 to 809 of the family's 1533-position model. The record is from RNAcentral.
CAGUAGCCGCGGGAAAACGAAGGGGGCUAGCGUUGCUCGGAAUGACUGGGCGUAAAGGGCGCGUAGGCGGCGGCCAAAGUCAGGCGUGAAAUUCCCGGGUUCAACCUGGGGGCUGCGUUUGAUACUUGGUUGCUUGAGUGGGGAAGAGGGUCGUGGAAUUCCCAGUGUAGAGGUGAAAUUCGUAGAUAUUCGCAAGAACACCAGUGGCGAAGGCGGCUCACUGGCCCGAUACUGACGCUGAGGUGCGAAAGCGUGGGGAGCAAACAGGAUUAGAUACCCCCGUAGUCCCUGUCUUUAUACA